CCUACGGUGUGCUGCAGUCGAGAAUCAUUCACAAUGGGGGAAACCCUGAUGGUGCGACGCCGCGUGGGGGAAUGAAGGUCUUCGGAUUGUAAACCCCUGUCAUGUGGGAGCAAAUUAAAAAGAUAGUACCACAAGAGGAAGAGACGGCUAACUCUGUGCCAGCAGCCGCGGUAAUACAGAGGUCUCAAGCGGUGUUCGGAAUCACUUGGCGUAAAGCGUGCGUAGGCUGUUUCGUAAGUCGGGUGUGAAAGGCGCGGGCUCAACCCGCGGAUGGCACAUGAUACUGCGAGCCUAGAGUAAUGGAGGGGGAACGGGAAUUCGCGGGGUAGCAGGGAAAUGCGUAGAUAGCGAGAGGAACACUCGUGGCGAAGGCGGGUUCCUGGACAUUAACUGACGCUGAGGCACGAAGGCCAGGGGAGCGAAAGGGAUUAGAUACCCGAGUAGUC
RNAcentral lists this ribosomal RNA (446 nucleotides) under uncultured bacterium. RNAcentral's name for it is "partial 16S ribosomal RNA". It matches the Rfam family "Bacterial small subunit ribosomal RNA", at positions 338 to 795 of the family's 1533-position model. The record is from RNAcentral.